RNAcentral lists this ribosomal RNA (425 nucleotides) under uncultured bacterium. RNAcentral's name for it is "partial 16S ribosomal RNA". It matches the Rfam family "Bacterial small subunit ribosomal RNA", at positions 354 to 796 of the family's 1533-position model. The record is from RNAcentral.
GUGGGGAAUCUUGCGCAAUGGGCGAAAGCCUGACGCAGCCAUGCCGCGUGGAUGAUGAAGGUCUUAGGAUUGUAAAAUCCUUUCACCGGUGAAGAUAAUGACUGUAGCCGGAGAAGAAGCCCCGGCUAACUUCGUGCCAGCAGCCGCGGUAAUACGAAGGGGGCUAGCGUUGCUCGGAUUUACUGGGCGUAAAGGGCGCGUAGGCGGACAUUUAAGUCAGGGGUGAAAUCCCGGGGCUCAACCUCGGAACUGCCUUUGAUACUGGGUGUCUUGAGUAUGAGAGAGGUGUGUGGAACUCCGAGUGUAGAGGUGAAAUUCGUAGAUAGUCGGAAGAACACCAGUGGCGAAGGCGACACACUGGCUCAUUACUGACGCUGAGGCGCGAAAGCGUGGGGAGCAAACAGGAUUAGAUACCCUUGUAGUCC